This 461-nucleotide ribosomal RNA is filed under the name uncultured bacterium. Its description in RNAcentral is "partial 16S ribosomal RNA". It matches the Rfam family "Bacterial small subunit ribosomal RNA", at positions 338 to 795 of the family's 1533-position model. The record is from RNAcentral.
CCUACGGGGAGCAGCAGUGAGGAAUAUUGGUCAAUGGGCGCGAUCCUGAACCAGCCAAGCAGCGUGAAGGAUGACUGCCCUACGGGUUGUAAACUUCUUUUGUCGAAGAAUAAAAUGCGGCACGUGUCCCUUUUUGUGUGUAUUUUAUGAAUAAGGAUCGGCUAACUCCGUGCCAGCAGCCGCGGUAAUACGGAGGAUCCGAGCGUUAUCCGGAUUUAUUGGGUUUAAAGGGUGCGUAGGCGGUGAGUUAAGUCAGCGGUGAAAUGCCCCCGCUCAACGGGGUGAAGUGCGAUUGAUACGGCCUUGCUGGAAUGCGGAUGCGGUGGGAGGAAUGUGUGGUGUAGCGGUGAAAUGCAUAGAUAUCACACAGAACACCGAUUGCGAAGGCAUCUCACGAAUCCGCGAUUGACGCUGAUGCACGAAAGCGUGGGUAUCAAACAGGAGUAGAUACCCGAGUAGUC